GGGCGAAAGCCUGACCCAGCUAUGCCGCGUGCAGGAUGACAGCUCUAGUAGUCGUAAACUGCUUUUAUACGGGAAGAAAAGCACCUACGUGUAGGUGUCUGACGGUACCGUAAGAAUAAGGACCGGCUAACUCCGUGCCAGCAGCCGCGGUAAUACGGAGGGUCCAAGCGUUAUCCGGAUUCAUUGGGUUUAAAGGGUGUGUAGGCGGAAAGGUCAGUCAGUGGUGAAAUCCUACAGCUUAACUGUAGAACUGCCAUUGAUACUUCCUUUCUUGAGUCUAGUUGAAGUGAGCGGAAUGUGUCAUGUAGCGGUGAAAUGCAUAGAUAUGACACAGAACACCGAUUGCGAAGGCAGCUCGCUAAGCUAGUACUGACGCUGAGGCACGAAAGCGUGGGUAGCGAACAGGAUUAGAUACCCUGGUAGUCCACGCCGUAAACGAUGAUUACUCGAUGUUGGCGAUAUAAUGUCAGCGUCCAAGCGAAAGUGUUAAGUAAUCCACCUGGGGAGUACGGUCGCAAGAUUGAAACUCAAAGGAAUUGACGGGGGCCCGCACAAGCGGAGGAACAUGUGGUUUAAUUCGAUGAUACGCGAGGAACCUUACCUGGGCUUAAAUGUAAGAUGACAGGCUGGGAAACCAGCUCUCCUUCGGGCAACUUACAAGGUGCUGCAUGGCUGUCGUCAGCUCGUGCCGUGAGGUGUCGGGUUAAGUCCCAUAACGAGCGCAACCCCUAUCCUUAGUUGCCAGCGGAUAAUGCCGGGGACUCUAAGGAAACUGCCCGCGCAAGCGGUGAGGAAGGUGGGGAUGACGUCAAGUCAGCACGGCCCUUACGUCCAGGGCCACACACGUGUUACAAUGGCCGGUACAGAGGGCAGCUACCUGGUGACAGGAUGCGAAUCUCUAAAGCCGGUCUCAGUUCGGAUCGAAGUCUGCAACUCGACUUCGUGAAGUUGGAUUCGCUAGUAAUCGCGCAUCAGCCUCGGCGCGGUGAAUACGUUCCCGGGCCUUGUACACACCGCCCGUCAAGCCAUGGAAGCCGGGGGUACCUGAAGUCAGUCACCGUAAGGAACUGCCUAGGGUAAAACUGGUAACUGGGGCUAAGUCGUAACAAGGUAGCCGUACCGGAAGGUGCGGCUGGAAUACCUCCUUUCU
This 1150-nucleotide ribosomal RNA is filed under the name uncultured Cryomorphaceae bacterium. RNAcentral describes it as "bacterial SSU rRNA". It matches the Rfam family "Bacterial small subunit ribosomal RNA", at positions 373 to 1533 of the family's 1533-position model. The record is from RNAcentral. Lineage: Bacteria; Pseudomonadati; Bacteroidota; Flavobacteriia; Flavobacteriales; Cryomorphaceae.